AUGGACAAGGAAAAGGAGGUAAAGGAAAAGGAAGAUUACAUGGACCAGCUAUCUAACCAAAGCGAAAUAGUAUCCUGGAAACGAUUUUUGGUCCUAUGGAUGAGCAGGGACAUUUUUUUCCUAAACGCCUUGACACAACUAAAUCUGAAUCAUGGUAUUAUUGGACCUAAUUUACAUAUACACGUCUUGUGUCAAAAAGAUUGCACACAUAGAUGUGGAACUCCCGAUGGAAUCUGCACCAUGCAUUACCCGUUUGACCAUGCACCACAUGCCAUCAUAAAAUAA
Molecule: long non-coding RNA, 285 nt
Filed under: Zea mays
Lineage: Eukaryota; Viridiplantae; Streptophyta; Magnoliopsida; Poales; Poaceae
Description: drought-responsive long non-coding RNA
Source: RNAcentral